Molecule: ribosomal RNA, 949 nt
Filed under: Leucauge celebesiana
Lineage: Eukaryota; Metazoa; Arthropoda; Arachnida; Araneae; Tetragnathidae
Description: SSU rRNA
Rfam family: Eukaryotic small subunit ribosomal RNA
Source: RNAcentral
UUUUCCCCGGGGGUUGUCUGCAGUAGUCAUAUGCUUGUCUCAAAGAUUAAGCCAUGCAUGUCUAAGUACAUGCCGCAUUAAGGCGAAACCGCGAAUGGCUCAUUAAAUCAGUUAUGGUUCCUUGGAUCGUACUUUACUACUUGGAUAACUGUGGCAAUUCUAGAGCUAAUACAUGCAGCAGAGCUCCGACCUUCGGGGACGAGCGCUUUUAUUAGACCAAAACCGAUCGGGCCUCCGGUCCGUGAAACGUGGUGACUCUGUAUAACUUUGGGCUGAUCGCACGGGCUCGUCCCGGCGACGUAUCUUUCAAGUGUCUGCUUUAUCAACUGUCGAUGGUAGGUUACGCGCCUACCAUGGUCGUAACGGGUAACGGGGAAUCAGGGUUCGAUUCCGGAGAGGGAGCCUGAGAAACGGCUACCACAUCCAAGGAAGGCAGCAGGCGCGCAAAUUACCCACUCCCGGAACGGGGAGGUAGUGACGAAAAAUAACAAUACGGGACUCUUUUGAGACCCCGUAAUUGGAAUGAGCACACUCCAAAUCCUUUAACGAGUACCCAUUGGAGGACAAGUCUGGUGCCAGCACCCGCGGUAACUCCAGCUCCAAUAGCGUAUAUUAAAGUUGUUGCGGUUAAAAAGCUCGUAGUUGGAUCUCAGUGCGAGACGGACGGUCCACCUACCGGUGGUCACUGUCCGGUCUCCACACCAGCCGGUUUCCCUGGAUGAUCUUCACCGGUUGUCUUGGGUGACCGGCAAGUUUACUUUGAAAAAAUUAGAGUGCUCAAAGCAGGCGCGACGCCUGGAUAAUGGUGCAUGGAAUAAUGGAAUAGGACCUCGGUUCUAUUUUGUUGGUUUUAGGAACACGAGGUAAUGAUUAAGAGGGACAGACGGGGGCAUUCGUAUUGCGACGCUAGAGGUGAAAUUCUUGGACCGCCGCACGACGACUACGCAGA